CCGCCCACCAACCCCUGGCUUCUCUGUCCUACAGCUGAAGGGGAGAAGACUGCUGCCUGGUGGGGACACCUUGGUACACCGCCUUCUCGCCCUCUCGGCUUCUCUGAAAAGAAGGCUACCGGACAAAGAGGUGGGUGGAGGAAAGAAGAAUGCAAAGGCAACACUGGGGCCGAAGGCUAAGCAGCAGACUCAGGUGGAGAUGUGAUCCUGGUGGCCCUUUGGCUGAAGAACAUUGGCAGAAUUGGAGGUCCCACUGAGACUGAGCUGACACCUUCACUGCCUUGGACCAGGGCCCUCACUCAACUCAGUAACUGUGCGCACAUCGUUUAGGGGGUGGGCACUAGGUCCUGGCGGUUUUUUUUUGUUGUUUUUUUUUUUUUUAAAGCUCCCUAGGUGAUUAGAAUGUGCAUCCUGGCUUUUGAGGGAUGGGGUGACAAGCCAUUUCAGGAGGUCACAGAGGGGUCGGAAGGGCAGCGCCUGUAAAGCAGUGACCUUGGUCCCUGCCUGUGGUAUUCAGUUAGUGUGAACUGUCAUUUCUUUUUUGCUGUGCCUUCUUCAUUUUGCU
RNAcentral lists this long non-coding RNA (565 nucleotides) under Mustela putorius furo (domestic ferret). RNAcentral's name for it is "lncRNA (ENSMPUG00000024684.1)". The record is from RNAcentral. Lineage: Eukaryota; Metazoa; Chordata; Mammalia; Carnivora; Mustelidae.